Long non-coding RNA from Phyllostomus discolor (pale spear-nosed bat), 4935 nucleotides. RefSeq lists it as uncharacterized. Lineage: Eukaryota; Metazoa; Chordata; Mammalia; Chiroptera; Phyllostomidae. The transcript has 3 exons. The record is from RefSeq and is a predicted model, not a curated record.
UUACAGACUGCUUUUGACACUAGUUUGUACUUUGUUCAGCUUUUGGUAAUGGGUCACUAGGACCAGAAAUAGAUAUGCCUGAAGGUCAUGGGUGAAUUUCAUGUUUAUCCAUCAGUCAACAUUUAUGAUAGACUCAAUGAAGGCAUGGUUCUCUGCUAGGAAUCAGACUUUUAAAUCAUAUAACACAACAGUAACAACAAUGAUUGUGAUAUAACCCCUGCCUUUAGAUUCCAUCCUCUGAUUAAGAGAGAUGAGAUACAAACACCAACAUAACCCACAAAUACAAGGUAAUAAAAGGAUUUUAUAGGUUGUUCACACCAAAGAUCAAAACAUCAACAAAUGCCCAAACGUAAUUAUUGCUGUUGCCACUCUAGGACAGAAUGAGAAAAUAGGAAGAUAACUACACAGAGACAGGUCCUAUGAAAACAUCCAGGGUGAGAUGAAUGAAUUGGCAACGACCCUCCUCACAACUCAAGAAGGAAAUUCGGAAAAGGGCCAACUCCAACCAGCUAUUCUCUGAACUGACCCCAUUCACCUUGAAAUCAGAGCAUUGGAAGAAGAAAGAAGAAGGAAAAUCACGUGCAUGGCUAUGUCACUAUACGUAGCUGUGUAUAGCAGGGGGUAAGGGAGAUAUCUGUGUACAGAAGAGGAAACUGUGCAGUGGGACACGAGGCCAGACCUACCUCGGUGCUUAUGAUGAAAAUUAGAAGGAAAUAUUCCACUAAGAAAAUUACCCUGUACCUACACUGAAGGUUGGCUAAUUCUAGCCCAUAGAAUUAUCCCACAUCAUAAGUUCUCUCACUUGUGCUGGAUUGUAACUUUAGGUAUGUGGGCAGGCAAUUAAAAUUUUCCUGGGAUCACCCCACUUAACCUAGUGACAAUGAGGAGCAAGAUUUCCCCAUCUUAACAGCUAGUUCAGAGCCCAAGUGGCAGUCCACCAGCAGCUGAUGUGAGGAGAGGCUGAGUGGCAGUUCUAAUUGACCAUUUCUACCCAUGUUCCUCUAAGGAACAUACAAUACAAGCUGUCACAGCUUCCUGCCAAUCACAAGAAAUCUGACCUGGAGAAACCACUGUCUCAGAGUAAGGACUGUUUAUAUGUAUCCAAUGAAUUCCGUUUCCAUUACAUUAUCUUAUUUUUAGGCCAUUGUGGAGGAGAGCCUGCCUAAUCAUAUCAUAAAAUCACAAAUUUAGUAGAUUAUAGAUGAUGACUUCAAAUCUAAAUACGUCCUCUGGCUGCCCAAACAAGAGGCCAUUUAGCAUUUGACAUCUUCUAGUCUUAGAGCUGCAAGUUUUUUCUUUGAGGAUACUCGGGAGCUUUUGCAGAGUUGCAGCUUACCAAAUAUUUAGGAGGCAUGCUGUUUUAUGACACAGAGGGGGUAACAACAGUGCAUGUGUGUUCUGAUGUGCAAAGAAGAAAAUGCCUAUAUGAGCUGUUUUCCUAUAGCACAAAGGGUUAAGGCAACAUAGGAAAUUUAUGCAGACAAGUUGCAUGCCACAUUUACCUGUUUUUUCUCCUUUUACAGUCAAUGAGAGAUUUUCACUCUGACACAAUGUCAACAACACAUAUGUCAUAAGCAAUGGGGACUGGGAAGAAAGAGAAGUGCACAAAGGCAAACUAACUAGACAGACAGCAGCUCAUCAGUGCCACAUGCUCGUGCUUGGCUCCAGUGGAACAGCCUUGCCAUAAUAAGGCCAGACACACGAAUUUCUAAAUGGCUCUACAAGUGGUUAGUUAGCCAGGUGGCCACACACCUAUAGAAGCACUGACGGGAAAACUACAUGAGAAAACAUGGUGUUUCGGUUUGCAGCUGCCAUCCCUACUCCAUCAAGAAACAUAGUCAGUGCCUACUCUCCCAAAGUUAACAGGGGACUGGGUGGAAGAUGACAGAGCUUCAGAGUCCCCACCCAACUCAGCAGGAGGAAAGGGGGAGUUGUUAGACAAAGAAAUGCCCUUCCAAACUCUGCAUCCAUAAAUGGAAACAUACAGGUACGCUUCCAGUGUUCAGGCUUACAUCAGUUCAGCUUGUUUCUGAGCAGUGAUUAAUUCUGCAAGAAAGGACCUAUGGCAGCUUGUGUUAUUGUUUACAAAUAGUCAUGGUCUCCUCCCUGGAGAAGAAUUGUAUUUCACUUCCCUAUUGAUGGAGCUUGGCGAUGAGACCUGCUAUAACCAGUGGACUGUGCGGAAAGUGACACGCAGAAGCUUUAAGAGCCACUGUGUGCUCCCCAGGGCCUCUUUUCUCCCCUGUCAAUGACCAGCAAAGUCCCCAAGAGGAAUUUCUUUGUCAGUCUGGGUCCUGAAGUGAAAACAACAGAAAAGAGUAUUGAAGUUGACCCAAGAUGAAUAUAAGCAAAAAAUAACCUUUAUUGUUGUGAACCACUAAAAUUUUGUGAGUCAUUUCUUACUGACUCAUAACCUAGCCUAUUCUGACUAAUACAGUCACUUUAAAAAAGCUAAUAGUAAGGCAAGUUCUCACUUAAAGUCCUCGAUAGGUUUCUGGCACUAUGGUCAAAUGAAGUAUAACUAAACUAUUUUACCACAGGUUAAUUGAUAUAAGCAAGAGUUAAGUUCCUACCCAUCUCAUCAAUGUCAUAAUGAAACAAUCCUAAACUAAACAAUGUCAUCCAAGGACCUCCUGUAAAUCUAAAAGUAUGUGGCAGCUUUGCAUGAGAAGUUCAAGCAUUUGUUUUCCUCUUGUCAUGAUCUCUAUCUUACCUCUAGCCCCUUUGUGUUUGGAUUAGUUCUGUCCUUGGUUUGUUAGUCUGAUCUUUCUCAAGUGGGCUAUCAGGCAGGGCAAAUCUCUGGACCUCAGAUGUGAAUACAUGUUAGGCAGAUGAUGGCAUAGUUAAUUAAAUUGUAAGAAGUAAAUGUGGAUUAGAUAAUUAUAGAACAUGUUAUCCUCUUUGAAAAUCUGUUUAUUAUCUUUGCAAUGGAGACAUUUAGCUUUAUAAGAAGUGCAUACAUAGAUACUAUUUCAAUUUAGAAAGGCAUGGUCAGGGAGCCAUAUGGCAAGAAGGUCCUAUGAUAGAAUAACAUAACUUUGUUAGAGACUAUAUUUUUAAAAAAAUGUAUCACAAACUCAAAAUAGUUCGGAGUCAUGAUAUGUUCCAGAAAUCAGAGUAAAUUCUGGACGUCUAGGCAUAAAAUCCACUACACAGCAGGACACUUCAUCUCACUUAAUGCAAUCAUUGUACACCACUUGUGUUCUAUGUGCACAGCAUUAUUGUUUGCAGGAAACAGUUUUCAGGAUCCCCCAUGUUCCUUGUUAGUGGAAGAAAAUAUUCACCUGUAUCUCAUCCAAAGCUCGUAAAUUUUUGAAGUAUUCCUUUCCUUCAGAUUUUAAGAGCUAAUCACCUCAGCAAGCACAAUAUCUGGGUCUGAGUGGAUGUUUCUCAGCUUUAUCAGUUAUACCAUUAAUUAGAAAAGAGAAGAAGUGGCAAAGGAAGUUUAAGGUUUGUCCUCAUAGUUAGGAAACAACAUUCCAGAACCACAGAAUAUUGGAUUUGAAUAAGAAAAAGCAUCGGGGAGCCUGAGGCAUAGAAAGGUUUCAGGACUCACAAAUGGCUGCAGAUCACAGUCCAGAGCUUUGGCGCCUUCCCUGGCAUGUUGGUCCUCUGCUCACAAUUGUGUGCUGAGGUUGGGCUAGGCUAAGGGAUCCCAUUUGAGAUGACAGAAAUGUAUUUUAAAAAGAACACAGAGUAUGGGAGAAGUAAGAACAUAGAAAUUAUGAAUACCAACAAUCUAUUCAAAAUAGAAGCUCUGUUUAGAAAAGUCAGUCUCUCAGUUUUGCUUGGAUGCCUCUAGUGACCAGGAGCACAUUGCUGUCUGAGGUGCCUGUUCUGUUGUGAGAUCUUGCUGGUUACUAAUAAGGUCUUUCUUGGAUGAACAUAUACCUUCCUCAUGGGUAUGUUCUUAAGCUAGUCAUAGUUCUACUCUGAUCCAGGUUAGUGGUUUUCAAACACAGAAAUGUGAUUCGUCCCUCAGAAAACAUUUGGCAAAGUUUGCAGACAUUUCUGGUUGUCACAGUUACCAAAAAUGCUACUGACGUCUAGGCAAAGAGGCCAGGAGCACUGUUAAGCAUUGUAUAAGGCACAAAACAACCCUGCAACUAAGAAUUAUCUAGUUCAAAUGUCAACAGAGCCAAGACAGAGAAACUCUGAUCUAGUCCAACCUCUACUAGACUCCAUAGCCCCUCACAUAUUUGAAAGGGACUCUAUUAUUUCUUCCAAGCCUUCUUUCUGCUAAAUACCUUCAGGUUUCUCAUUAUUAUGCAUGAAAUAAUUUAUCAGCUUAUGAUGACUAUGCUUCAAUGUCUUCUUGUCUCUUGCUAAUUGCCUCCACUAGAAGGGCACACUAUCCAUUAGAUCUUACAGAAAUCCAGAGGAUUCUUAAUCCCCAUGAUCACAGCACCACAUGUAUUCAAUGCACUGUCAAGUACCCAUAAACCAUCACUAGAAGCAUGAAAGAGUCUGGUGUCUUAGAUCACCAUGUAGAUUCACCAAAACUCCAUGCUAUUUAUAUGAUGGUAGUAUUAAAUAGCAGUAGUAGCAAAGUAACGCUUACUAUUUAUUGAGUACUGAUGAUAUGCCAGGCACCCUGCUAAGGGCUUCAUAUACAUUAUCUCAUUUAAUCCUCCUAGCAGUCCCAUGAGGUAGGCUGUGUUAUCAUCAUUUUGCAGAUGAAGAAACCAUUCUUUGAUGAAACAUUUGUCUAAGGUCAUAGAACUGGGAAUCAGAUUGGCCAGGACUCAAACCCAAGUCUGCCCACCCUCAAACCCAGGCUCUCAACCCCCACAAUGUGCUCCUCAAAACAGGGAUAAAAUGGCACAGUUCACAAAAGACUAGCAAACUACUGGGGAGUAGUUAAUGCAUCCAUUUUAACAUGCAUGUGCAUAACUUGGUGGGAGGUCUCACUCCUUUGCAACCUAAGCAUUCUGG